Molecule: ribosomal RNA, 500 nt
Filed under: uncultured bacterium
Lineage: Bacteria
Description: partial 16S ribosomal RNA
Rfam family: Bacterial small subunit ribosomal RNA
Source: RNAcentral
AUUGAACGCUGGCGGCAUGCUUUACACAUGCAAGUCGAACGGUAACAGGGUGCUUGCACCGCUGACGAGUGGCGAACGGGUGAGUAGUGCGUCGGAACGUGCCGAGUAGUGGGGGAUAACGCAGCGAAAGUUGUGCUAAUACCGCAUACGUACUGAGGUAGAAAGUGGGGGACCUUCGGGCCUCACGCUAUUCGAGCGGCCGACGUCAGAUUAGCUAGUAGGUGAGGUAAAGGCUCACCUAGGCGACGAUCAGUAGCGGGUCUGAGAGGAUGAUCCGCCACACGUGGACGGAGACACGGCCCAGACUCCUACGGGAGGCAGCGGUGGGGAAUUUUGGACAAUGGGCGAAAGCCUGAUCCAGCCAUGCCGCGUGUCUGAAGAAGGCCUUCGGGUUGUAAAGGACUUUUGUCAGGGAGGAAAUCCCUAGUGCUAAUAACACUGGGGGAUGACAGUACCUGAAGAAUAAGCACCGGCUAACUACGUGCCAGCAGCCGCCGUAA